UGGGGAAUAUUGCACAAUGGGCGCAAGCCUGAUGCAGCCAUGCCGCGUGUAUGAAGAAGGCCUUCGGGUUGUAAAGUACUUUCAGCGGGGAGGAAGGGAGUAAAGUUAAUACCUUUUCUCAUUGACGUUACCCGCAGAAGAAGCACCGGCUAACUCCGUGCCAGCAGCCUCGGUAAUACGGAGGGUGCAAGCGUUAAUCGGAAUUACUGGGCGUAAAGCGCACGCAGGCGGUAUGCUAAGUCAGAUGUGAAAUCCCCGGGCUCAACCUGGGAACUGCAUCUGCUACUGGCAAGCUUGAGUCUAGUAGAGGGGGGUAGAAUUACAGGUGUAGCGGUGAAAUGCGUAGAGAUCUGGAGGCAUACCGGUGGCGAAGGCGGACCCCUGGACGAAGACUGACGCUCAGGUGCGAAAGCGUGGGGAGCAAACAGG
Molecule: ribosomal RNA, 429 nt
Filed under: Fusobacteriota bacterium
Lineage: Bacteria; Fusobacteriati; Fusobacteriota
Description: Fusobacteria bacterium partial 16S ribosomal RNA
Rfam family: Bacterial small subunit ribosomal RNA
Source: RNAcentral